This 240-nucleotide unclassified non-coding RNA is filed under the name soil metagenome. RNAcentral describes it as "partial contains 5.8S ribosomal RNA, internal transcribed spacer 2, and large subunit ribosomal RNA". The record is from RNAcentral.
AACACUGUUAACCUGCGGUACCUGCGGAGGGAUCAUCAGUAGUCCUUCAGUCUGUUUAACAGGCGCAAAAUACCAUCUUGUGCACGGUUUGUUGGUUAGGGGUGACUGGGAGGUUUUUUAGAUAUUACACGUUGCCGUGUGGUCUAAAUUCUCCCAGCUACCUGUUAUAAAUACACUAUAAGUCCAUUAGAGUUAGUUUUGAAGUAAGGUUGUUGUAUUACACAACAAGUAAUCUAUACA